This 406-nucleotide ribosomal RNA is filed under the name uncultured bacterium. RNAcentral describes it as "partial 16S ribosomal RNA". It matches the Rfam family "Bacterial small subunit ribosomal RNA", at positions 30 to 526 of the family's 1533-position model. The record is from RNAcentral.
AUUGAACGCUGGCGGCAGGCCUACCACAUGCAAGUCGAGCGAGCGGCGGACGGGUGAGUAAUGUCUGGGAAACUGCCUGAUGGCGGGGGAUAACUACUGGCAACGGUAGCUAAUACCGCAUACAAUCCUUUCUCCCCACAUGGGAUUAGCUAGUAGGUGGGGUAAUGGCUCACCUAGGCGACGAUCCCUAGCUGGUCUGAGAGGAUGACCAGCCACACUGGAACUGAGACACGGUCCAGACUCCUACGGGAGGCAGCAGUGGGGAAUAUUGCACAAUGGGCGCAAGCCUGAUGCAGCCAUGCCGCGUGUGUGAAGAAGGCCUUCGGGUUGUAAAGCACUUUCAGCGAGGAGGCGUUACUCGCAGAAGAAGCACCGGCUAACUCCGUGCCAGCAGCCGCGGUAAUUC